UACGGAGGGAGCUAGCGUUGUUCGGAAUUACUGGGCGUAAAGCGCGCGUAGGCGGCUUUGUAAGUUAGAGGUGAAAGCCUGGAGCUCAACUUCAGAAUUGCCUUUAAGACUGCAUCGCUUGAAUCCAGGAGAGGUGAGUGGAAUUCCGAGUGUAGAGGUGAAAUUCGUAGAUAUUCGGAAGAACACCAGUGGCGAAGGCGACUAACUGGACAUGUAUUGACGCUGAGGUGCGAAAGCGUGGGGAGCAAACAGG
Molecule: ribosomal RNA, 253 nt
Filed under: uncultured bacterium
Lineage: Bacteria
Description: partial 16S ribosomal RNA
Rfam family: Bacterial small subunit ribosomal RNA
Source: RNAcentral